Molecule: ribosomal RNA, 253 nt
Filed under: uncultured bacterium
Lineage: Bacteria
Description: partial 16S ribosomal RNA
Rfam family: Bacterial small subunit ribosomal RNA
Source: RNAcentral
UACAGAGGGGGCAAGCGUUGUUCGGAAUUACUGGGCGUAAAGGGCGCGUAGGCGGCCUGCUAAGUCGAACGUGAAAUCCCCGGGCUCAACCCGGGAACUGCGUCCGAUACUGGCAGGCUUGAAUUGGGGAGAGGGAUGCGGAAUUCCAGGUGUAGCGGUGAAAUGCGUAGAUAUCUGGAGGAACACCGGUGGCGAAGGCGGCAUCCUGGACCGAAAUUGACGCUGAGGCGCGAAAGCCAGGGGAGCAAACGGG